AGGAACAUCAGAGGUGUAACAAAUAAGGGACUGGUAGGGUCAACAGGAGUCGUAUUAGUACUCAUGUUAGCAAUCGUGAAUAACAACGAGUUCAAAGUCAAAAUAUAGUCUCUGCAAGUAUGUUGAAAAACUAAAGUUGUAUCAAAAACUUCAUGCAAAUCAUAUAACACCUAAAAUAGGAACAGAUUUAUCUUCAUUCUUCGCGACCGGAGAAGAUCGGCCUUCGAUUAACAGAAAACUGCCAGUUUCGAACAGCAGAAAUCCAGUAGAAACCCUAAAAUCCGAAGCCUCACCGGAAUCGACUCGAGAACGUCGGAAAAAUAACCCAAAACGUUCGAGUGAAGAAGAUACAAGCAGAUAUCACGAUGAAAGUAUCAGAUAAACAUCCGAUUUAGAUCGGAAUCAUCAUCGACCAAAUACGUCAGAAACACCCCCAAAAAUUUCCAACGAGACUUCAACCGAG
This 463-nucleotide long non-coding RNA is filed under the name Nicotiana benthamiana. Its description in RNAcentral is "long non-coding RNA (NBEN_LNC013202)". The record is from RNAcentral. Lineage: Eukaryota; Viridiplantae; Streptophyta; Magnoliopsida; Solanales; Solanaceae.